AGUGUUGAAUUUUCUAUAAAAGGGUGUAGGUAUUGCACUAAAACUUACACAACUUCAAGGAUAAGAUUUGGAACAGUUACUCGCAUACAUUGCUGAAACAUGAAGUGUGUUGUUUUAUUGCUUGUUGCAGUAUUGUUCGUCAUUUCUGCUUUUGCUGCACCAAAUCCUGGAGUUCACAAAGUCAGUAAGUAUGAGUAGUUUCAUGAUAAAAAUAUAAAUAUAUAAACUUUAUUUAUUUUAAUUCCUUAUUGAAACUUACUGUAUGCAUUAGUGCUACUUAAAAAGUUGAU
Molecule: non-coding RNA, 290 nt
Organism: Parasteatoda tepidariorum (common house spider)
Lineage: Eukaryota; Metazoa; Arthropoda; Arachnida; Araneae; Theridiidae
Source: RefSeq, a predicted model, not a curated record